AGGGGUAUAGCUCAGUGGUAUGGUGCAUGCUUAGCAUGCAUGAGGUCCUGGGUUCAAUCCCCUGUACCUCCA
RNAcentral lists this transfer RNA (72 nucleotides) under Camelus bactrianus (Bactrian camel). It matches the Rfam family "tRNA". Rfam says of the family: Transfer RNA (tRNA) molecules are approximately 80 nucleotides in length. The record is from Rfam by way of RNAcentral. RNAcentral also lists the same sequence under 2 other names. Lineage: Eukaryota; Metazoa; Chordata; Mammalia; Artiodactyla; Camelidae.